AAGCUUUUGUUGGGCAUGUAUUCAUAGAUCAACAUUUUUUCUUCUAGCUCAAUGCAGCAACCUAGAAGCUUCACAAGGUUUCGGUGCUGAAGUUUGGCAAUGAAGAUGACUUCAUUCUUGAAUUCAUCAAGUCCCUGUGUGGAAUCCUUUGAUAACCUCUUUACAGCUAUCUCUUGCCCAUCUUUCAGUGUACCCUUGUAAACAGGUCCAAAACCACCUUCUCCAAGCUUAUUGAAUUCUGAAAAGUUGUCCGUGGCAUUUGCUACA
Molecule: unclassified non-coding RNA, 267 nt
Filed under: Hevea brasiliensis (rubber tree)
Lineage: Eukaryota; Viridiplantae; Streptophyta; Magnoliopsida; Malpighiales; Euphorbiaceae
Source: RNAcentral